Molecule: RNase P RNA, 366 nt
Filed under: marine eukaryotic metagenome
Description: Bacterial RNase P class A
Rfam family: Bacterial RNase P class A
About the family: Ribonuclease P (RNase P) is a ubiquitous endoribonuclease, found in archaea, bacteria and eukarya as well as chloroplasts and mitochondria. Its best characterised activity is the generation of mature 5'-ends of tRNAs by cleaving the 5'-leader elements of precursor-tRNAs. Cellular RNase Ps are ribonucleoproteins.
Source: RNAcentral
GGUGGGCGCAUGAUCGCUCCGGCAGCAUAAUGCCGGAGAGGAAAGUCCGAACACCGCAGGGCACGGUGGUUCGUAACGCGAACUCCGGGUAACCGGGGGAAAGUGCCACAGAAAAUACACCGCCGAUGGUCUGCCCCGUGCAGACACAGGUAAGGUUGAAAUGGCGAGGUAAGAGCUCACCGCUUUCGUGGCGACACGGAAGGCAGGGUAAACCCCACCGGGUGCAAGACCAAAUAGGGAAACGUUUGAGGACGGCCCGUCCGAAGUUUCCGGGUAGGUUGCGCGAGGUGCCGGGUGACCGGCAUCCAAGAUAAAUGAUCAUGAUCCGCUGUAAGCGGCGACAAAAUUCGGCUUACAGCCCACCCC